UCUUAGUGUUUGAAGGCACUACUUUAAAUCUUGCCUUAUUUGAACCACCCCAUUGAGAUAAAACCACCUGUUCCAUUGCACCUUUUUCCAAGCCAUCAGUAUGGUGUUGCAAAGAUGGUGUGACGUUGUCCUUUGUACCUUCUUUUUCCAAAAUCUCUAGAGAUGUUCCCUCCAGCAAUUUAUUACCAGGCAAGAAUUCAACUUUCGGU
This 209-nucleotide long non-coding RNA is filed under the name Nicotiana benthamiana. Its description in RNAcentral is "long non-coding RNA (NBEN_LNC010558)". The record is from RNAcentral. Lineage: Eukaryota; Viridiplantae; Streptophyta; Magnoliopsida; Solanales; Solanaceae.